GGAGAAUUGGCCGAGUGGUCGAAGGCGCACGCUUGGAAAGCGUGUAUACCGCAAGGUAUCGGGGGUUCAAAUCCCCUGUUCUCCGCCA
RNAcentral lists this transfer RNA (88 nucleotides) under Bacteriovoracaceae bacterium. RNAcentral describes it as "tRNA-Ser". It matches the Rfam family "tRNA". From Rfam's summary of the family: Transfer RNA (tRNA) molecules are approximately 80 nucleotides in length. Their secondary structure includes four short double-helical elements and three loops (D, anti-codon, and T loops). Lineage: Bacteria; Pseudomonadati; Bdellovibrionota; Bacteriovoracia; Bacteriovoracales; Bacteriovoracaceae. RNAcentral also lists the same sequence under 2 other names. The record is from RNAcentral.